GUUCACAUAGGCUCACCAGGUAGAGCACAAGCCUCCUAAGGCUUGGGGUAACGGGUUCAAUUCCCGUUGUGAACGCCA
RNAcentral lists this transfer RNA (78 nucleotides) under Mycoplasmopsis bovis. RNAcentral describes it as "Mycoplasma bovis tRNA-Arg". It matches the Rfam family "tRNA". From Rfam's summary of the family: Transfer RNA (tRNA) molecules are approximately 80 nucleotides in length. Their secondary structure includes four short double-helical elements and three loops (D, anti-codon, and T loops). Lineage: Bacteria; Bacillati; Mycoplasmatota; Mycoplasmoidales; Metamycoplasmataceae. The record is from RNAcentral.